This 497-nucleotide ribosomal RNA is filed under the name uncultured bacterium. Its description in RNAcentral is "partial 16S ribosomal RNA". It matches the Rfam family "Bacterial small subunit ribosomal RNA", at positions 28 to 507 of the family's 1533-position model. The record is from RNAcentral.
GAUGAACGCUGGCGGCGUGCCUAAUACAUGCAAGUCGAGCGAACAGACGAGGAGCUUGCUCCUCUGACGUUAGCGGCGGACGGGUGAGUAACACGUGGAUAACCUACCUAUAAGACUGGGAUAACUUCGGGAAACCGGAGCUAAUACCGGAUAAUAUAUUGAACCGCAUGGUUCAAUAGUGAAAGACGGUUUUGCUGUCACUUAUAGAUGGAUCCGCGCCGCAUUAGCUGGUUGGUAAGUUAACGGCUUACCAAGGCAACGAUGCGUAGCCGACCUGAGAGGGUGAUCGGCCACACUGGAACGGAGACACGGUCCAGACUCCUACGGGAGGCAGCAGUAGGGAAUCUUCCGCAAUGGGCGAAAGCUUGACGGAGCAACGCCGCGUGAGUGAUGAAGGUCUUCGGAUCGUAAAACUCUGUUAUUAGGGAAGAACAAAUGUGUAAGUAACUAUGCACGUCUUGACGGUACCUAAUCAGAAAGCCACGGCUAACUACGUG